ACGCGUGGGUACGUACCCUGAUCCUGGGAAUAACCCUCGGAAACGAGGGCUAAUACCGAAUGUGGCGAACGACCGGUUGGUCGCUCGCUAAGGUGGCUCUUCUAUGCUGCCGGGUUGGGAUCGGCCGCGUCCAUUACUAGUUGGUGAGGUAACGGCUCACCAAGGCCACGAUGGGUAGCCGGCCUGAGAGGGUGUACGGCCACACUGGCACUGAGACAAGGGCCAGUCCCCUAUGGGAGGCGCAGGCGGGAAUAGUUCACAAUGGGCGAAAGCCUGAUGACGCGACGCCGCGUGAGCGAAGAAGACCUUCGGGUUGUAAAGCUCUGUCAGGAGGGAAGAAGGCUCUACGGGUUAAUAGCCCGUGGAAUUGACGGUACCUCCAGAGGAAGCCCCGGCUAAAUACGUGCCAGCAGCCGCGGUAAUACGUAUGGGGCAAGCGUUGUCCGGAUUUACUGGGCGUAAAGGGCGCGUAGGCGGUUUGUUAAGUCGAAGGUGAAAUCCUCGGGCUCAACUCGAGAAUUGCCUUCGAUACUGGCAAACUAGAGUGGCGGAGAGGAAAGCGGAACUCUUGGUGUAACGGUGGAAUGUGUAGAUAUCAAGAGGAACACCGGUGGCGAAGGCGGCUUUCUGGACGCACACUGACGCUCAGGCGCGAAAGCGUGGGUAGCAAACAGGAUUAGAUACCCUGGUAGUCCACGCCAUAAACGAUGGGUACUAGGUGUCGGGGGUAUCGACCCCUCCGGUGCCGCAGUUAA
Molecule: ribosomal RNA, 755 nt
Filed under: uncultured organism
Description: bacterial SSU rRNA
Rfam family: Bacterial small subunit ribosomal RNA
Source: RNAcentral